GGGAUAUCAUAGGCAGUGAAGGAUACAUCUGUGCUGCCAUCAAAAAUCGAUCAGAUGAAGAUCUCAGAAGAGGCAGCAUUUUAGGGUU
Sinocyclocheilus grahami is the source of this 88-nucleotide long non-coding RNA. RefSeq lists it as uncharacterized. The record is from RefSeq and is a predicted model, not a curated record. The transcript is spliced from 4 exons. Lineage: Eukaryota; Metazoa; Chordata; Actinopteri; Cypriniformes; Cyprinidae.